CGGGGGGCAGCAGUAGGGAAUAUUGGGCAAUGGACGAAAGUCUGACCCAGCCAUGCCGCGUGCAGGAUGAAGGCCCUCUGGGUUGUAAACUGCUUUUGACAGGGAAGAAAUACACCAUGCGUGGUGGGCUGACGGUACCUGUAGAAUAAGCACCGGCUAACUCCGUGCCAGCAGCCGCGGUAAUACGGAGGGUGCAAGCGUUGUCCGGAUUUAUUGGGUUUAAAGGGUGCGUAGGCGGUUUUGUAAGUCAGUGGUGAAAGCUAGCAGCUUAACUGUUAAACUGCCAUUGAUACUGCAAAGCUUGAGUUCAGAUGAGGUAGGCGGAAUUUAUAGUGUAGCGGUGAAAUGCUUAGAUACUAUAAAGAACUCCGAUAGCGUAGGCAGCUUACUAAACUGAUACUGACGCUGAGGCACGAAAGUGUGGGGAUCAAACAGGAUUAGAUACCCGAGU
RNAcentral lists this ribosomal RNA (451 nucleotides) under uncultured prokaryote. RNAcentral describes it as "bacterial SSU rRNA". It matches the Rfam family "Bacterial small subunit ribosomal RNA", at positions 342 to 791 of the family's 1533-position model. The record is from RNAcentral.